UAAGACUAAGGAUGUUGCAUGAAAUAAAAUCAUUACAGGAAGUAUGACGGUAUCAGGGACUUUUUACAAAAACAAACUUCCAGAUCACAAGAGGAAGCUGUGUUUGUGUGCUGACAGAAAGUAUUUAACAGCAGUCAGGAGAGGAAGGCAGGAUGAGAGCCAACUUGGAUCUAUUUUUGAAGAAUUAUUUCUGUAGAGUGUCAUGGAAUUGUAAGUUACAAAAAAGAAUGCUUUGGUAAACAGUCUUCUCCAUUCCAAAAGGACUCACUCCAAAAUACCACUUAAUGAAAUUCACGGGAAUGUUAUGAAGAUGGAAAUCCCAAAUGACAGGCAGACUUUACAAGCGAACAGUCCUACUUUUUGUAAAUCCUGGCAGUGUGCAUUUACCAAAAUCUCCGUCACACCAUGCUCUCUUGCUAUAUAUAGCACUCCAUCUGAUCUGAUCGCUAUACCAUGCGGCAAGAUGCAUGUCCUUGCUUUCUUCUGAUUUUUAACUAGUCUUAAAUUUGUCUUAGCGUAGCAGUGACUCCUGCUUCUCAAGGUUGAGCUACUAUUUGGUACAUUUUAGAAAUCUCAAAUUAACGUGUGUGUACUCAGUCACUACUGAACCCAAUGACCAAUCAGCUUUAAAUAGGUCUUUUUACUUUCUAUGGAUUCAUCCCUCUAUUUAUCAAACCAUUUCUUGUUUUUAUAUGUAACUCUAUCACCUGUCUUUAAUUAUAUAUAUAGAAUCACUCUCAUCUG
RNAcentral lists this long non-coding RNA (744 nucleotides) under Bos taurus (domestic cattle). RNAcentral describes it as "long non-coding RNA NONBTAT027142". Lineage: Eukaryota; Metazoa; Chordata; Mammalia; Artiodactyla; Bovidae. The record is from RNAcentral.